Long non-coding RNA from Mus musculus (house mouse), 500 nucleotides. RefSeq annotates it as predicted gene, 53934. The record is from RefSeq and is a predicted model, not a curated record. NCBI's taxonomy places the organism in Eukaryota, Metazoa, Chordata, Mammalia, Rodentia, Muridae. The transcript has 3 exons.
CACCAGAGGAGUGAGGAGAAACACGCAGGCUGUGAAGAUUUUCUUCUGUCGUUGUCCCUGCUAUUCUUUACAAAAUGCUGCAGAACUCCUGAAGCUCUUGAGUGCAUGCCCGUCCCCACGUGCAUCCCACAGUGGUGAUUUCUCCAUCAUUUAAGACUGAGCUCUACCAUGUCCUCCCAAAAGUCUGAAUGCUGCACCCUGUCUAUCAAGGGACUGCUGCCUCACCCUGCUUACAUGGAAGGCAUAACCUUCUCAGGAAACUCAGAACUUUCUGGAACAUCCACUGUCUUGCUGUGCACCCAGGAGCUCAGGCCAGAGUCCUUCCAGCCCUCCAGCCAGGGCUCUGUGGAUGUUGCGAUUUGCUGUCUGCCCUGCCUCAAGACCCAGACACUUACUCUCUCAGCUGCCAAGAUGUGGACUGCUGCUACCUCAGAGCUGAAAUCUCUUAGAAAAAUAAGUCAGAAUGGGUGAGAGCAUUAUAUAUAGAGUUCCACAGUCUG